CUUAUUACUUUUUUUUUUACUUUCAAUCCAAAUGCCUAAACUUCAUUGUGACAAAAACUUGCUUUUUUUGCAGUACAUUAAGAUGCAAUCCACAAAAUAGAAAAUGUAAAAAUCUUGGAGGAUAACAAAAUCUUAUUAAAACAGUUGAUAAAAAAAAAAG
Molecule: long non-coding RNA, 160 nt
Organism: Carassius carassius (crucian carp)
Lineage: Eukaryota; Metazoa; Chordata; Actinopteri; Cypriniformes; Cyprinidae
Exons: 2
Source: RefSeq, a predicted model, not a curated record